AAGGUAUAGUGCUGUAUAUGAGUUGCAUUUUCAGUAAAGGAGUUUUGCGUGUUGAAGAUUUCGUUGCAUACCACUUCUCUCUGCCAAUCCUUAUCUUAUAGUGCCUCAAGCAGUAACGAUUCCAGUUGAUCUCUGUGUCGCUAAAGAGCGAUUUCAAUACUCCAAAGGAAAUAUGCAAGAUGGCAAAAAUAAAAGGUCAAGUGAAGUGGUUCAAUGAAUCUAAAGGUUUUGGUUUCAUUACUCCGUCCGAUGGAAGUAAAGAUGUGUUUGUUCACUUUUCUGCUAUUCAAGGUAACGGUUUUAAAACCCUGGCCGAAGGCCAGGGUGUGGAAUUCGAAAUCCAGGAUGGUCAAAAAGGCCCUUCAGCAGUAAACGUAACUGCCCUGUAAGUCCAAGUUGCUGUUGCAAUAUUGGGUUAUUUUAUUUAUAGAUAAGCUAUAA
RNAcentral lists this small RNA (441 nucleotides) under Sodalis endosymbiont of Henestaris halophilus. RNAcentral's name for it is "cspA". It matches the Rfam family "cspA thermoregulator". Lineage: Bacteria; Pseudomonadati; Pseudomonadota; Gammaproteobacteria; Enterobacterales; Bruguierivoracaceae. The record is from RNAcentral.